GUGCUUGCUUCGGCAGUACAUAUACUAAAAUUGGAAUGAUACAGGGAAGAAUAGCAUGGCCCCGGCACAGGAUGGCAUGCAAAUUCACAAAGUGCUUCAUUUUUUU
This 106-nucleotide small nuclear RNA is filed under the name Catagonus wagneri (Chacoan peccary). Lineage: Eukaryota; Metazoa; Chordata; Mammalia; Artiodactyla; Tayassuidae. The record is from RNAcentral.